RNAcentral lists this ribosomal RNA (318 nucleotides) under uncultured Allapsidae. RNAcentral's name for it is "SSU rRNA". The stretch from base 60 to 318 matches the Rfam family "Eukaryotic small subunit ribosomal RNA", at positions 695 to 955 of the family's 1831-position model. Lineage: Eukaryota; Cercozoa; Glissomonadida; Viridiraptoridae. The record is from RNAcentral.
GACUUCUGGUGUAAUGAGUCUGGCCCGAGGCCUUCUAGGUUUUUGAGUGCCGGUUCGCAUUUACCAUCCUUCCAGAAACGAUUCUUUCCGCAAGGUUUGAUUCGGAACUGGAUCUUUUACUUUGAAAAAAUUAGAGUGUUUAAAGCAGGCGUUUGCUAUGAAUACAUUAGCAUGGAAUAAUAAGUUAGGACUUCGGUUCUAUUUUGUUGGUUUCUAGGACUGAAGUAAUGAUUGAUAGGGAUAGUUGGGGGUGCUAGUAUUCAGCGGCCAGAGGUGAAAUUCUCGGAUUCGCUGAAGACUAACUUAUGCGAAAGCAUU